Molecule: long non-coding RNA, 298 nt
Filed under: Homo sapiens (human)
Lineage: Eukaryota; Metazoa; Chordata; Mammalia; Primates; Hominidae
Description: non-protein coding lnc-CNTNAP2-4:1
Source: RNAcentral
GCUAGGGGACUGGGAUUUCUCUGAUUAAAUACUUAAUGUUAUCAGCACAUGGUCUAGGUGCAGGCAAACUACCAUGCAUUAGCCAGUCUGGCCCACUACCUGUUUUCAGGAAUAAAACUUUGUUGGAAUACAGUUACAUGCUUUGUUAAUAUACUGUGUAUGGUUACUUUCAUGCUACAUCAGAGUUCAAUAGAUGUGACAGAGACCACCUGGCCUGCAAAACCAGAAAUAUUUCCUAGCUGGCCCUUUAUAGGAAACAUUUACUGACCACGGACUUAUACUAUUGUUAUGCUAGCUC